GACGAACGCUGGCGGCGUGCUUAACACAUGCAGGUCGAACGGAAAGGCCCUGCUUUUGUGGGGUGCUCGAGUGGCGAACGGGUGAGUAACACGUGAGUAACCUGCCCUUGACUUUGGGAUAACUUCAGGAAACUGGGGCUAAUACCGGAUAGGAGCUCCUGCUGCAUGGUGGGGGUUGGAAAGUUUCGGCGGUUGGGGAUGGACUCGCGGCUUAUCAGCUUGUUGGUGGGGUAGUGGCUUACCAAGGCUUUGACGGGUAGCCGGCCUGAGAGGGUGACCGGCCACCUUGGGACUGCGAUACGGCCCAGACUCCUACGGGAGGCAGCAGUGGGGAAUAUUGCACAAUGGGCGGAAGCCUGAUGCAGCAACGCCGCGUUCGGGAUGCCGGCCUUCGGGUUGUAAACCGCUUUCGCCUGUGACGAAGCGUGAGUGACGGUAAUGGGUAAAGAAGCACCGGCUAACUACGUG
Molecule: ribosomal RNA, 468 nt
Filed under: uncultured bacterium
Lineage: Bacteria
Description: partial 16S ribosomal RNA
Rfam family: Bacterial small subunit ribosomal RNA
Source: RNAcentral